This 274-nucleotide ribosomal RNA is filed under the name uncultured bacterium. RNAcentral's name for it is "partial 16S ribosomal RNA". It matches the Rfam family "Bacterial small subunit ribosomal RNA", at positions 523 to 796 of the family's 1533-position model. The record is from RNAcentral.
AUACGGAUGGUGCGAGCGUUGUUCGGAAUUACUGGGCGUAAAGGGCGCGUAGGCGGCGAUGUAAGUCAAAUGUGAAAGUCCUCGGCUUAACCGGGGAAGUGCAUCUGAAACUGCAUUGCUUGAGUACGGGAGAGGAAAGUGGAAUUCCCGGUGUAGAGGUGAAAUUCGUGGAGAUCGGGAGGAAUACCGGUGGCGAAGGCGACUUUCUGGACCAAUACUGACGCUGAGGCGCGAAAGCGUGGGGAGCAAACAGGAUUAGAUACCCUAGUAGUCC